GUGGCAAAGAGCAACCAAAGAACUACAUUGAUGUACAAAGGGGACUCCUGCAUUUUCCCUGUUCCCUGAAGAGAUUAAGAACUUCUGAGUGGAGACAAACGGGAAAAAAUAUUGUUUGUGGAACCUUGCCUAGGCUUGAUGAGAAGGAGGAAAGAGCUCUUACAGCUAAAACUAAUCAGUAACUGUGGUUUCUCCAAACAUGGAAGAAUUUUCCAUCAACAGUCACAAUGGGGAGUGUCUAGUUGGACCAUCAUGGAAGAUGGAUGGGCCUCAAGAAGGUUAGCAGGAUUAAAUGAAGCAAAAAGGAUGGAGCCCUAAUUCAAUAGGAAUGAUGUGAUUAUAAGAAGAGAAAGAGACACCAAAGCACAGAGGCAAGAUGGUGUGAGGACACAAUGGGAAGGUGGCAUCUGCAACUAAGGAGAGAAGCUUCUGGAUAAACCAAAUUUGCUGACCUCUUAACCUUGGACAUCCAGUCUCUAGAACAGUGAAAAAAUUAAUUUCUGUGGUUUAAACUACAUAGUCUUUGCAACUUUGUUAUGGCAGCCCUGGCAGACUAUCAGAAAUGCAUUAAGAUGUUCACAAAAAGAAAUGUACAAAAUGUUCUUAGCAACAUUCUUGUAUUUGGUUAUUCUGAGAAUAACCAAAGCCUAAAAACAGUCCAGAUGUCCAUCAAGUGUAAUUUGUAUAAAUUAUGUUUAUUUAUUCCAAACAAUGUAAUUUGGCAAUGAAAACUAACAGAUUACAGCUAGACACAGCAACAGGAAUAAAUCACAAACAUAAUGUUGAGCCAAAGAACUAAGUACAGAUGAGUACGUCUUGAAUGAUUCUAUUCAUAUAAAGUUAUGAUGAAUCAGUCAAAAUGAAUCUGCUGUGUUAGAAAUCAGGAAUCAGGAGACUGGUUACCCUUGGGGGUCAGUAACAAAAAGGGAGUGAAAAGGGGCUUUCUGAGAUGUUGCUAAUAUCCUGAUCCUCAAUUUCAGUGAAUGCUGGUUACAUGCAUAUGUGUCUUUUGUGAAAAGCCACAGCACCAUCACUUAUGCAGCUUUUUGUGUGUAUAUUAUACUUCAAUAACAACAAGCAAGUGAUAGAUCUGGGACUCAAACCCAGGCUUUGAGGCUCCAAAUCUCUUGUCCUCUCAUUAUAUUGUUUAAAUGGUUUUAUAUUCCAAUUAUAUCAGAUAGUUUUAGAUAUCUGUAUCUAAUUCUUU
Molecule: long non-coding RNA, 1207 nt
Filed under: Homo sapiens (human)
Lineage: Eukaryota; Metazoa; Chordata; Mammalia; Primates; Hominidae
Description: non-protein coding LINC01069:1
Source: RNAcentral